AGUGAACGCUGGCGGCGUGCCUAAUACAUGCAAGUCGAACGGAGUGGCGCACGGGGGAGUAAUGUAUAGCUAAUCUGCCCUAAAAUAGAGGAAAACAGUUGGAAAAGGCUGGUAAUACUAUAUAGUGUAGGUUGAGGCUAUAUUGUUUCAGCUAGUUGGUGAGGUAAUGGCUCACAAAGGCUAUGACGCAUAACUGGUCGGAGAGGAUGAUCAGUAAAACUGGAACGGAGACACGGUCCAGACUCAUACUGGAGGCAGCAGUAGGGAAUAUUGCUCAAUGGGGGAAACCCUGAAGCAGCAACGCCGCGUGGAGGAUGACACUUUUCGGAGCGUAAACUCCUUUUGUUAGGGAAGCGGUACCUAACGAAUAAGCACCGGCUAACUCCGUGCCAGCAGCCGCGGUAAUUC
Molecule: ribosomal RNA, 408 nt
Filed under: uncultured bacterium
Lineage: Bacteria
Description: partial 16S ribosomal RNA
Rfam family: Bacterial small subunit ribosomal RNA
Source: RNAcentral